RNAcentral lists this ribosomal RNA (438 nucleotides) under uncultured fungus. RNAcentral describes it as "eukaryotic LSU rRNA". The stretch from base 1 to 120 matches the Rfam family "5.8S ribosomal RNA", at positions 30 to 154 of the family's 154-position model. The record is from RNAcentral. Lineage: Eukaryota; Fungi.
GCAUCGAUGAAGAACGCAGCAAAUUGCGAAAAUUAAUGUGCAUUGCAGUACGUGAAUCAUCGAGUCUUUGAACGCAACUUGCACUCUAGGUUCUCCUAGAGUAUGCCUAUUUGAGUAUCGGUACCCCCCACUCACAACCCCACCCCCCUCGUGUGGUGGUGGUUUGGAUCCAAUGAGUCAUGCGUGUGUACUGUGUUGUGUAUCCACACACACACACACACAUACGCUGACUUGAAGUGUACACUGAAUCGGGCCUAUGUAUACUGUACAUGCGGCACUGACGUGAUAGUCUCACAUGUUUGGGAACACAACUCGUCAGGCACACAAUGCCACGUGUCGGUCAUAGUGACCCAGUCACACACCACCACAUACACCAAAUCUCGAUCUCAAAUUAGGUAGGACUACCCGCUGAAUUUAAGCAUAUCAAUAAGCGGAGGA